Molecule: ribosomal RNA, 449 nt
Filed under: uncultured bacterium
Lineage: Bacteria
Description: bacterial SSU rRNA
Rfam family: Bacterial small subunit ribosomal RNA
Source: RNAcentral
UUACCAGACUCCUACGGGAGGCAGCAGUGGGGGAUAUUGCACAAUGGGGGGAACCCUGAUGCAGCGACGCCGCGUGGGUGAAGGAGCGUUUCGGCGCGUAAAGCCCUAUCGGCAGGGAAGAAGGAGGACGGUACCUGACUAAGAAGCCCCGGCUAACUACGUGCCAGCAGCCGCGGUAAUACGUAGGGGGCAAGCGUUAUCCGGAUUUAUUGGGUUUAAAGGGUGCGUAGGCGGAAUGCCAAGUCAGCGGUAAAAUCGCGGGGCUCACCCUCGCUCCGCCGUUGAAACUGGCGUUCUUGAGUGGGCGAGAAGUAUGCGGAAUGCGUGGUGUAGCGGUGAAAUGCAUAGAUAUCACGCAGAACUCCGAUUGCGAAGGCAGCAUACCGGCGCCCAACUGACGCUGAAGCACGAAAGCGUGGGUAUCGAACAGGAUUAGAUACCCCUGUACG